Molecule: ribosomal RNA, 246 nt
Filed under: Vibrio sp. T9
Lineage: Bacteria; Pseudomonadati; Pseudomonadota; Gammaproteobacteria; Vibrionales; Vibrionaceae
Description: partial 16S ribosomal RNA
Rfam family: Bacterial small subunit ribosomal RNA
Source: RNAcentral
CUGGAACUGAGACACGGUCCAGACUCCUACGGGAGGCAGCAGUGGGGAAUAUUGCACAAUGGGCGCAAGCCUGAUGCAGCCAUGCCGCGUGUGUGAAGAAGGCCUUCGGGUUGUAAAGCACUUUCAGUCGUGAGGAAGGCGGCGUCGUUAAUAGCGGCGUUGUUUGACGUUAGCGACAGAAGAAGCACCGGCUAACUCCGUGCCAGCAGCCGCGGUAAUACGGAGGGUGCGAGCGUUAAUCGGAAU